UAGCACUCGGCAUGUUUUUCU
This 21-nucleotide non-coding RNA is filed under the name Caenorhabditis elegans. Lineage: Eukaryota; Metazoa; Nematoda; Chromadorea; Rhabditida; Rhabditidae. The record is from RNAcentral.